GGAUGUGACGGUGAUCUGGCUGUGACAUCUGUCACCCCGCUGGUCACCAGGGUUGAUUCAGCUGAUCUAGCUGGCCAGGCAGGUGUCCCACACCUCCCCAACUGCUCCAUGUACUCCUGAAGUUGAGCACUUGGUCCAAGAGGGCGACUGCUCCUGACAAAGGAGGACCGUUUCCUCAGUCAAGGGUGUAGAAGUAGCUGUGUUCCCUUGCUAGAACCUCCAAGCAAGCUCUCAAGAUUACACCUAGAAAAAAGUGUGAUUUGCAGCUAUCUGGUAAAUUCCAUCCCCAAUCUAACCAAUGCAAAUAAUU
Cavia porcellus (domestic guinea pig) is the source of this 310-nucleotide unclassified non-coding RNA. Its record names the gene 7SK. It matches the Rfam family "7SK RNA". From Rfam's summary of the family: 7SK was discovered as an abundant small nuclear RNA in the mid-70s but a possible function has only recently been suggested. Two independent studies have found that 7SK RNA binds the CDK9/cyclin T complex (known as elongation factor P-TEFb). The record is from Ensembl. NCBI's taxonomy places the organism in Eukaryota, Metazoa, Chordata, Mammalia, Rodentia, Caviidae.